This is a long non-coding RNA of Helianthus annuus (common sunflower), 269 nucleotides long. RefSeq lists it as uncharacterized. The record is from RefSeq and is a predicted model, not a curated record. The transcript has 3 exons. Lineage: Eukaryota; Viridiplantae; Streptophyta; Magnoliopsida; Asterales; Asteraceae.
AUCCUAGCAUGAAAUAGUGAUCUCCAUUGAAAAGGAGUCAUAAGGCAAGGAAUCCGGAUCCUCAAGCGGACAAGCCGGUGGAGACACGCGUUGAAAGGAGCGCUCUAAAGGUGAUGCUCGUUUGUUGUGGAUGUUGAUCAAGCAAUGGAAUCAAGAACCGAACACAAGUUUUGAAUGCUUCCGCGCUAAUCUAAUCUAGUUUAAAACAUAUUGUGUUGUAAACACUUCUAAACGUUGAAUAUUUUAAUCUACUUAGUUGACUAUGUUUA